Long non-coding RNA from Prionailurus viverrinus (fishing cat), 731 nucleotides. RefSeq lists it as uncharacterized. The transcript has 4 exons. The record is from RefSeq and is a predicted model, not a curated record. NCBI's taxonomy places the organism in Eukaryota, Metazoa, Chordata, Mammalia, Carnivora, Felidae.
CAUAGAACAUAAUGGAAGAAUACCUUAAAAAUUCUGAGGGCUUUACAAUUCUAUGCUUAUCUGCUCUAUAAGUGAGGAGAACCUAGAGACAUUCUAAGAUGUAUAAGGACUCAAACAGAGAGGUUUCAAAUGAAGAACAACCAGUUCAUACUGAAGCAGGUUCCAAUGAGCAGAUAUACCACACUGGAUCUGCAGGCUUAAGCAACCAACCUUAGCCAGCAACCAUUCAUAGGAACUCAUAACUUCUGUGGAGCAUGGAGAGGGUGUCAUCUGGUUCUCAGGCAGCUGGGUUGCAGUUUCCUCUGGAAUGUGGACAAACUCAGUGACUUGGUUUUGACAAAUAGGAAAAGUGAAAGUAAAGGUCUGUGGCUUUGGAGGCUAAGUCAUAAAAGGUACCGUGGCUUCUUCCUUGCUCUCUCUUGGAUUACUCACUCUGGAGGAAGUUACCAUGUUUUGAAGACAGGUCCACCUUGUGAGGAGCUGAGAACUCCAGCCAACAGCCAGGAAAACUCCAGAUACCCACUACUUUUUACCUGGUCCCGUGCAGAAUGCUGUGGGUUUUAUAUUCUAACUGAAGCCACUGUACUCGCUAUGGCAGAAACUGACAAUGAAAUAAGAGACAAGUGAAACCAAGAAGAUAGGAGCUACUUGCUGGCAAAUUAGUAGAACAUAAAGGCUCAUGUUGUAUGUGUUGCAAGACCCUAACCACAACCUCUCUAUUCAGAAGACCA